Molecule: ribosomal RNA, 337 nt
Filed under: uncultured bacterium
Lineage: Bacteria
Description: partial 16S ribosomal RNA
Rfam family: Bacterial small subunit ribosomal RNA
Source: RNAcentral
CCUACGGGAGGCAGCAGUGGGGAAUAUUGCGCAAUGGGCGAAAGCCUGACGCAGCGACGCCGCGUGAGGGAUGAAGGUCUUCGGAUCGUAAACCUCUGUCAGUAGGGAAGAACGGUCACUGUGGUAAUCAGCAGUGAAUUGACGGUACCUGCAAAGGAAGCACCGGCUAACUCCGUGCCAGCAGCCGCGGUAAUACGGAGGGUGCGAGCGUUAAUCGGAAUGAUUGGGGGAAAAGCGCUCGUAGGAGGUAUGUCAAGUCAAGGGUGAAAUCGCCGGGCUCAACGUAGGAACUGCCUUUGAAACUGGAAAACUGGGGUGUGUGAAAGGAUAGUGGAAU